UUCGGGGCAUCAAUCUAGAGGAAGGAGAUUCUCAUCGCCAAUUCGCAUGGUUCCCGCUGAGUGACUGCCUUCCUCAGGGGUCAUGGUGGGUGUUCCUGUUGGAGGUGAAGAAGCUCAAGUCCGGCGAUGGGGAGGAGCAUUUUGAGCUUCAGAUAAAGAGUGGUACGUGCCGUUUCAAGUACUUCACCAUAUUCGACCGCUUUCCUAGCCCGCUGCGUCUUCAUAUUGUGGCUCACGGCCCCUCGAGUUGGAAGUUUAGCCAACUCUUGCUUUGCGUCGUUGGCAAGGUACCAGAAGGACUUGCACGGGGGUACUUUCCAAACUACCACUGCAAGGAGUUUCCAAACACGAAGAAUUCUACUGCCACCACCACCACCACUACCACCACUACCCUUAAGCCAGCAGCCACACACUCCGCCACAGCCCCUCCCGAUGCAACGCAGGACACAGCAACUUGGCUAUCUACGGAGGUUGUGAUAAUCAUGGUGUUGGUGGCGGAAGUGAUGGUGAUGACAGCAUUGGUGGUGCUGCUGGUGAAGCGUUUCCGGCAACGAAGGAACACUGUGGAAGGACCCGCUGAGCCCAUUUACCACAACACAGUGGACCCACCGCGACCCAUCGUCCCACCACGUCAGCGAGCGGACGCCUCCCAGGGCAUGAGGACCGAGGCUGAGGACGAGGACAACGUAUAUCAAGAGAUUGUGGACUUCGCGCCGCGCUGGGCCGUCGUGGCGGGACCUACAAGAGCAAGGAUGAGACAAAACGCAGGACAAAAUGAUGGCUACUUGAGGAUGAGCGGGUCUCUGUACGACGAGGCCGGCUCCCCAUAAGAACUCAAAAGGAAAGAGAUUUUAGACUUCGCGCCGCGCUGGGCCGUCGUGGCGGGACCUACAAGAGCGGGAAUGAGACAAAACGGUGACUGCUUGAGCAUGAACGGGCUGUAAUGAACGUAAUGUAGUGAAUGAUGAUGGUGGGCAAGGCCUUGAUGAUGCAUUACCUAACCCCGAGGUCCGUUCCCUAAGACCUGCAAGAUUGUAGUUUCCGCGCCGCGCUGGGCCGUCGUGGCAAGACCUACGGAAGAGGGAUACGGCAAGAGGACGCCUAUUUGUGCAUGAUCGGACCUUAUGAAAACACAGAAAUGGAGACAGUAAAGACAAUACUAUAUAAAUUUGGGCAAAAAAGAGAAAAUAAAAGAAAUGAAGAGGAGACGUAAAGAAAUUUAGAAACUCAAAAGACCCAGACCGAGAAAGACCACAGACCCCGAAAAAGGUACAUCAGGGAGUGCCGUUACAAAGGCAAGACUCCUGAGGCCGGAUUCAUCAAACCACUUACGAGACCCUGUUGUUGGUAAGUCUUCUGGUAACUCCAUCAUCUAGGAACGCGCUUGAUCUUAAGGUGACUCCAAUGGCAAUGAAAGAAGUGUCGACCAGGCCAGACAACUCAACUCAACCUUUGCACAACGAUUCGAUGUAUGAUGGCGCGUACUUAACCACGAGGCCCGCUCCCUACGAACACAAGGGGGUGGGGGGGGUAUUGAAGGUGAAGACAUGAUGACCUUUACUGAACGUUUCCUUCGUCGCUUGGUCGCCACAGCUGCUUACCUGUACAUCCUGUGUUUAUGAUGUUGAUGAUAAUGACCAGAAGGGAAAUGAUGAUGAUGAUGAUGAGGGCAAUGAUGAUGAUAGAAAUGAAGGUGAUGAUGAUGAUUAUGAUAAUGAUUAGAUGGAAAAUGAUGAUGAGGAUGAUGAUGAGGGCAAUGAUGAUGAUAGAAAUGAAGGUGAUGAUGAUGAUGAUGAUAAGGAUUAGAUGGAAAAUGAUGAUGAUGAGGAGGAGGCGAGGGAAGAGGAGAUGGAGCUUGGGUGAGAAGGAUUUUAGAUUAUGUUUUAGUUUUAGUUUUGUAUCGCCAUUUUAUUAAACACACACACACACACACACACACACACACACACACACACACACACACACACACACACACACCUGCAAAUACAUAUACACACAAACAGAUUUACAUUUUCUUACAGUGUAUAUAUACCCACACACAUAAAUGACUUGGACAUGUCUGAACUAAUUUUUUCACACCCUUAUACCAACACAUGCACAUAUACAAGCCUUCCACGAAUAUGCAUGUGUAUACUGCAUAGGCCUACAUUGAUUAUUGUAAGGAAAACAUUAUUAUUUUAGUUAUUCUUAGGUGAUUAUAGAUUUAUUUUUGUUUUGAGUGUCUGUCAAGGAGUUCCACGUGUUGAAUUAUUUCAUUAUCUAAAACUACUGCAGGAAAUUCACAACGAUUAUAAGGAAUUGUAAAGAAUAUUAGGUUUGUCUUUUGUAUGUUUAGUUUUAAUUCAGUACUCAGCGUUUUAAAUCAUGCUGUAAAAUGUAGUGAAGUGAAUAUAAACUUUUAUCCGCAUAGCUGAGACUGGUUUCAUAAAAAGAGAAUAGCAUAAAAAUAAAACAGGUCAUGUAUGUACUAUAUGAAGCGCUGAGUGCGAUAAGGAGCCAAGCGCCAAAAGUAAACAAACGAGAAAACUGCAUGUAAAGGUGAUGACUGCGUGCGUCGGUCGUUCACCAUUGCUUUACUUUACCUGUCUCGUGUGUCCUAAACAGGGUCCGGAUUCAUCAAACCACUUACGAGACCUAUUGAUGGUAAGUCUUCUGGUAACUCCAUCAUCCAGGAACGCUCUUGAUCUUAAAGCGACUCCAAUGACAAUGAAGGAAGUGUCGACCUGCAGCAUGUACUUCAUUCACUGUCAUCUGAGCAGCCUAAACACAAGGAUCAUUCGUAGAGGACAGAUUUACUUAAAGAAUUACCAACGACCGGUCUUGUAGUGGCUUCAUGAAUCCGGCCCCAGUACUGUAUAUGCAAUUAUGUGUUAUACUUCGUUAGAGACUACAUUUUCUUGGCUUUUACUCGAUAUGCAUUGAUUUCGUUAUGUUGAAUAACAAAAGAGUUAUAAAGUGAUGUAUAAUGCAGUGUGUUAAGCAGAAACAAUUUUCGGAUUUUAAAGUUUUACAUGGCCCAGUAAAUACUACCUUAGAAAAAACAAUCAAUUGAUAAACAACAUCUCUUAAUUAAAGCGAUAGUAGGUAUGUAUAUAUAAAGAAAAAUGAGCUUAUAUAUUUCCUAAUAGGUUUGCGUGU
This is an RNA transcript of Eriocheir sinensis (Chinese mitten crab), 3138 nucleotides long. RefSeq lists it as uncharacterized. The record is from RefSeq and is a predicted model, not a curated record. The transcript has 3 exons. Lineage: Eukaryota; Metazoa; Arthropoda; Malacostraca; Decapoda; Varunidae.